AGAAGUUAUAGUAGAAAGAAUCUGAGAUUCCUAUAAUAAUUUAAACUGGCAUUGUUCUGUUGGAGGACCUUCUGUAACUGAAAACUUCUGGUUCAUUAUUCUAACAUUCUAUUGCUAGAUUGAAUUUCUUCACCUUUAUGAUUAUGCUUGUUAUGUUUUAAAGCCAAAAGCUGUUCAGGGAGGGCUCAUUUGAGAAUUGACAGAUGGAAACAUUUUAAUGUUGGUAUAAAUUCAGGGACAUGAGGAAAGAUUCAUAAUCUUGGAAGAAAACAGAGACCUAGAUCUUAGUGAUUUGGGGUUAGGUAAGGGUUCUUAGGUGGUAACACCAAAAGCACAAAUGACAAAAAAAAAUAUUGAAAAUUCAAAAUUUAAAAAAACCUCCAUUUCAAAGGACACCCUCAAGUAGGUGAGAAGACAGUACACAGCAGAGUACUGUACAAAAUAAUUGCAGACUAUCUGAGGGACUUGCAGCUUUAAUUCAUACAUUAAAAAACGUAUCACUCAAUAAAAUACCAAAUUUCAAAGUAGGCAAAAGUUCUGUAGUGGACUUACACUGAAGGCCUGUCAGCGUUGUUAGCAUGUUCAACAUCAUUAAACAGAGGGAAGGCAAGUCUCACCCCUGUGAGAUGUCACUUCACCCCCACUAGGAAGGUUGUUAUCAAAAAAGACAAAAUUUUUGACAAAGAAGUGGGCAUGGAGGCUUGGGGGGGGUGGCGGUAAAAUGGUGCACCCUCUGUGGAAAACUGUCAAUUCCUUACAAAAAGACACGUAGAAUUAGCGUAACCCGACAAUUGCACUGCUAGGUACAGGCCUAAAUGAAAGCAAAACAGGUGUUCAGACAAAUGCUGUGCACGAGUGCUCGUGGCACUGUUCACAAUAACCAAAACGUGGAAACAACCCAGAUAUCAUCUAUUGGUGGAAGGAUAGACAAGGUGUAUUAUAUCUGCACAACAAAAUAUUACCUGAUAAUAAAGUUUAUAUACAGGCUACCACAUGGCUAAAUCUUUAAAGCGUGCUAAGUGAAAGAUGUCAUUUAUAAAAUGCCACAUUUUGUGUGAAUCCCUUAAUAUGAAUGUUCAGAAUAUGCAAAUCCAUGGGGGCAAUGUGGCUACCUAGGGCCAGGAAGGAGGGCUGGGGAAACAGGGGUGGCUGCUGAUGGGCAUGGUUUCUCUUGGAGGUAUUGAAAUGUUCUGAAAUGAUUAUGGUGAUGGUUAUACAACUCAGAAUAUACUAAAAGUCAUUGAAUUCCAUACUUUACAUGGGAGAACUGUAGGAUAUGGGAAUUUUAUUUCAAUAAAGC
RNAcentral lists this long non-coding RNA (1300 nucleotides) under Marmota monax (woodchuck). Lineage: Eukaryota; Metazoa; Chordata; Mammalia; Rodentia; Sciuridae. The record is from RNAcentral.